RNAcentral lists this ribosomal RNA (433 nucleotides) under uncultured bacterium. Its description in RNAcentral is "partial 16S ribosomal RNA". It matches the Rfam family "Bacterial small subunit ribosomal RNA", at positions 29 to 507 of the family's 1533-position model. The record is from RNAcentral.
AACGAACGCUGGCGGCAGGCCUAACACAUGCAAGUCGAGCGGACCUUUCGGGGUCAGCGGCGGACGGGUGAGUAACGCGUGGGAAUAUGCCCUUCUCUACGGAAUAGUCCUGGGAAACUGGGGGUAAUACCGUAUACGCCCUUUGGGGGAAAGAUUUAUCGGGGAAGGAUUAGCCCGCGUUGGAUUAGGUAGUUGGUGGGGUAAUGGCCUACCAAGCCGACGAUCCAUAGCUGGUUUGAGAGGAUGAUCAGCCACACUGGGACUGAGACACGGCCCAGACUCCUACGGGAGGCAGCAGUGGGGAAUCUUAGACAAUGGGGGCAACCCUGAUCUAGCCAUGCCGCGUGAGUGAUGAAGGCCUUAAGGUUGUAAAGCUCUUUCAGCUGGGAAGAUAAUGACGGUACCAGCAGAAGAAGCCCCGGCUAACUCCGUG